This is a long non-coding RNA of Mytilus californianus (California mussel), 306 nucleotides long. RefSeq lists it as uncharacterized. NCBI's taxonomy places the organism in Eukaryota, Metazoa, Mollusca, Bivalvia, Mytilida, Mytilidae. The record is from RefSeq and is a predicted model, not a curated record. The transcript is spliced from 3 exons.
AGUACAUUUUGGACAUGUACUUCAACAGAACAGAAUUCAUUUGAGGCCUUGCUUUCUAGAUUAUAUAGUGGAUUCAUAGAUUGUCAUAUUGAUUUAUGUGCAUAAAAGGAGCAGUAGUCAAUGAAUAAUUUUGUGAUGAGAGCUUAUUACCAUGGUUACCAAAUGAAAGGAAAGUGCAGUAUUAGAAUCACUGGUGUACAUGUAGAUGCGGAUGUCCGGCAAAAAGAACUGGUAUCAAAAAACUGAAAAGUAAAGAAACAGAACCAAAGAACGUUAAUUUUAGAUUAAUACAAUAUUGAACUCAAA